UUGAAAAGCAGAAGGGCCUAACAAUCCAUGGAGCUUAACAUGUGAACUUUAAAAAUGAAUAGGCUCUUCCCUGGGGGAGCAGUGAAGAAACUGAGUCCCUGCCCAUAAAGAGAGAGCACAACAGCCCCUCAGAGAUACAGCAUAGAAGCAGUAGUUUGAAAAACGCCCGGGCUAUACUGGAGGGACAUUUGUUUCCUAAUCUCGGAGCAUGUGCUGGAGGAGCAGGGAACUUCGGAAGACUUUGGAAGACUUCGGGAACAAAGUAGUUGGUGGGCGCUAUUCCCCGCCCCCCCCCCCGCCCGCCCGCCUACCUCCCAGCCUGAACACACAGACGCCUGCAGGAAGCAGCUCAGUGCCACCACACCACCUAGCUUGCUAACUGUGUGCCCGUCCCCAUUCUGUGCUGUGGACGUGCUCCCUCCAAACCAGCACCUGGUGGGAGCUCUCCCCUCACACAGCAAACCAGCAAGGACCUUGUGGCACCAUGAGCCCCACCCCCAUGGUCUCCUGGGCACUCACCUCUCCAACCCUGGAGUUUUCUAAAGCGGCUCCAAGUCCCCUCCACAACAGACCCGUGCAGACUUUAACACCGUGUACCCUCAUGUUCUCCAGUAGUCCUGCUCCCUCCAAUACACCAUUGGGUGGGGCCCAUCCAAAGUGGUGUCACAAGUCUGGCAGCAUGCAAGCAGCCCUGACGGGGGCCAACACAGCUUCAAAGUGACUCCUGCCCUGUGGAAAGGGGAAGACAACCACACAUACCAGUCCGACUGAGGCCUCAGUGGCGGGCUGGAGCCAGACAUCUGGUCUGAUUGCAGGCCCCUCACACCAAAGAAGAUUUCUCAAGGGGACAACACAGGAAAAGUGCCCUGAAGGACCCCGAAGUCCAGUGCAACUGCAUCUCUGGCAAAUGCCUGGUGUGACUAAACUCAAGCCCAAGGUGGCCCCAGACGGGCCCAUUAACACAGGGACAGAAGUGCCCCCAACAGGCAAAGAAAGCCAUUGCAAAUGACAGUACCGAAGGCAAAUGCGUCUCAGCCACAAUAGCAGGGUACACAUAACACACAUAGGAGACACCCUUGAAGUGCCAAGUUCUAAUUAAUAGGAGACAUUGCUCUUCAGGACACUACAGGCCUCUUCUUCAUAAGGCUGCUAGUUUCAAGAUCAGGAAACCUAGCCGACUUUGCUAGCAGAAACACAGAGAGUUAGACAAAAUGAGACAACGGAAUAUGUCUCAAAUGAAAGAACAGGACAAAAUCACAGCAAACAUCUAAAUGAAACAGAUGACCAAUAUGCCUGAUAAAGAAUUUAAAGCAAUGGUCAUGAAGAUGUGCACUGGGCUCGACAGAAGAGUAGAGGACUUCAGUGAGACCCUCAACAAAACAGGAAACAAAAAAGAACCAGAGAUGAAAAAAAUAAGUGAAAUUAAAAAUCGACUACAUGGAGGAAAUAGACUGGAGGAAGCAGAAGAAUCAAUGAGCGACCUGGAGGACAGAGCAAUGGAGAGCAAUCCGGCUGAACAGGAGAGAGACAAAUAAUAGUAAUAAAUGAAAAUAGACUUAGGGAACCCGGUGACACCGUCAAGCAUAAUAUUCCCAUUAUAGGGUUCCCAGAAACAAACUUCAUAGGUACAAAAAAGAGGUUGGUGUUUGCCAGAGGCUGGGGUGGGGAGGAGGUAUGGGGGUGGAGGAGCAGUGAAGGUGAAAGCCACUGCUAAGUGUUUUGGUUUUUUUUCACUGUUGCCUUUAUGGGGAGAAUUGGUUGAUGGACCCAAUACCCAUCUACUAGCCCCUUCUCUCCACUACAUUGUAGCUAGUGAUGACCAUGCGAUACAUUUCUGAGUCAUAGAUAUAAGUAAGAGUUUACUAUUUUAGGGGUUUGCUUUCCUGAUAAGAGAGAAGCUGAGCUGGCACCUCACUCUAAUUUUAUGCCUUUCGCUCCUUCCUGCUUUUCCCUGUUUUCUAAUGGAGAGGUGAUACCCAAAGAAACAGCAUCACUCUAGAAUCAUGAGGAAAUAAAUAUGAGUACAAAGACCUCCACACUGAAGAUUGUCGAGUACAACAUCAAAAAAGAGCCUGUGUCCCCUAUAGCAUCUUUGGGAAGCUGAACUAAUAUCCCACCUCUGGACUUACUGUUCUGUAUGAAAAAUGGAUUCCCAUUUGCUUGAACUUUUUUGUUUUUGUUUUUGCUAUUUUCAGCUGCGUUCAUUCCUAAUCAAUUUACAAUUUUAAAUCUUUCAGUUAUCUGCCAUUGAGUACCUGUGUGCCAGGCACUGUGCUAAGUGUUUGAUAUAUAUCAAUUAAUUUCAGCCACAUGACAGCCAUGAGGAAAGUGACACUUUGCUACAGAUAACAUGCAUAUGGGCGGAUGGAUCCCUGUGUGACUGGAAUGGAUUUAUCAAAUGAAGGAACCAGAGCACCAAAGUGUUAAGCGACUUUGCGUAGCUAAUGGUCCUGGAGCCUGGGAAAAGCAGAUCGCAGAGGUCAGCCUCCCUGGAUACAAAGCAGAACUGGGUACAAGAACAGACAUGACCGGAGCAGGCACAGAGGGCAUGCAAUUCAAGUGGUUUCCAAAAGUGGGGGUGGAUUCGCACUGGACAGCGCAUGCUAUUUCUCCUGUGAGUCCCUUACCCUCACUGUUCUCAUCCUGUGGGACAGCAAAAGGGAGGCGUGCAGCAAUGAUGUCAGAGCCCCUUGGAGCUUAAAUCAAUGACACUUGUCUCAGUGAUAAUACUGCGUCCUGUCAAACAAACCAAGCCACAUAGAAAGUGACUUAUUUUCCAUAGCUUCUUUUUGGAAAAAAACGUACAUUGCCUCUUCACCAUGUACCUUAGCAACAGCCACAGAGAAUACUUUCGGACUAUGGUAGUACAAAAGAAUUCCCUAAUUAAGAAAUGUAUUUAUUC
Molecule: long non-coding RNA, 2902 nt
Organism: Leopardus geoffroyi (Geoffroy's cat)
Lineage: Eukaryota; Metazoa; Chordata; Mammalia; Carnivora; Felidae
Exons: 2
Source: RefSeq, a predicted model, not a curated record